AUUGAACGCUGGCGGCAGGCCUAACACAUGCAAGUCGAAUGGUAACAGGAAACAGCUUGCUGUUUCGCUGACGAGUGGCGGGCGGGUGAGUAAUGUCUGGGAAACUGCCUGAUGGAGGGGGAUAACUACUGGAAACGGUAGCUAAUACCGCACAACGUCGCAAGACCAAAGAGGGGGAGCUUUUGGCCUCUUGCCUUCAGAUGUGCCCAGAUGGGAUUAGCUAGUAGGUGGGGUAACGGCUCACCUAGGCGACGAUCCCUAGCUGGUCUGAGAGGAUGACCAGCCACACUGGAACUGAGACACGGUCCAGACUCCUACGGGAGGCAGCAGUGGGGAAUAUUGCACAAUGGGCGCAAGCCUGAUGCAGCCAUGCCGCGUGUAUGAAGAAGGCCUUCGGGUUGUAAAGUACUUUAAGCGGGGAGGAAGGGAAUAAAGUUAAUACCUUUCCUCAUUGACGUUACCCGCAGAAGAAGCACCGGCUAACUCCGUG
This 490-nucleotide ribosomal RNA is filed under the name uncultured bacterium. RNAcentral describes it as "partial 16S ribosomal RNA". It matches the Rfam family "Bacterial small subunit ribosomal RNA", at positions 30 to 507 of the family's 1533-position model. The record is from RNAcentral.